Ceratotherium simum simum (southern white rhinoceros) is the source of this 82-nucleotide non-coding RNA. Lineage: Eukaryota; Metazoa; Chordata; Mammalia; Perissodactyla; Rhinocerotidae. The record is from RefSeq and is a predicted model, not a curated record.
UCAGGGGGUACAUGAUGUUGACAUCUUAUAACUGGUGAUGUUCACCUUGAUCACUUGGUUAAGGUGUAGUUCAUAAAUUUCU